UUAAAGCAGGACUAGAAGAAUCAGACGUGUGCGCUGACUAAACGAGCUAAAAAUAUUCCACUCCGUGCGAACCUGAUGAACAGAGGACCCUGGUGCAAGAAUGUGUUUUACCCACUCCCCAGCCACAGGGCAGCCAUGACUGAGUACCAACAAAACUGACGUGGCCGGGCAGACGUGGUUCCCAGAAGACCAGGGGUUAACUGUGUGAUGGGAGACAAUGGCUGAGAGUAUAGCAUUUGCAGCACUCAGAUUUCAACCAUCCACCAGCCAUUAUACAUUUAAGGUUUUACUUUAACCGCUGCACAUCACAUAGUUCAUGAAAAUAAAAUAUCCCAUCUGGCACAGGACCGUCUCCAACUCCAAGUCAGCACAGGCCCUGGCCAGUGAGUCUGAAAUGUCACUGCAGUGCAAUCUACUGCAACAACACCUGUUUCUGCUUCCCAACAAUACAUACCAAAAAAAACACAAACAUAAAUAUUUUCAGCAAUGCUCCUUCUGUUGCUAUAGGUCCCUCUAUCCCUCGGGCCGUGGUGCAGUGGCACCGUCAGUAGUUAUGCCACUGAUUCUACUUUUGUGUGAGACAACGUGGAUUUGGUAUAAAUAUAUAAGGAAUUAUAUGUUACAUCCCAUGUUCAAAUACUUGUAACUUUUGAAUGUGUCAGUUUUCCUGAAUUUUGGUGGUUUACUUCUGUCUUGAAGCCAUGAAUAAAACCAUGUAAUUCAUUUAAGAUGCAAAAA
This is a long non-coding RNA of Bombina bombina (fire-bellied toad), 738 nucleotides long. RefSeq lists it as uncharacterized. The transcript is spliced from 2 exons. NCBI's taxonomy places the organism in Eukaryota, Metazoa, Chordata, Amphibia, Anura, Bombinatoridae. The record is from RefSeq and is a predicted model, not a curated record.